This 256-nucleotide unclassified non-coding RNA is filed under the name Parmotrema reticulatum. RNAcentral's name for it is "partial contains 5.8S ribosomal RNA, internal transcribed spacer 2, and large subunit ribosomal RNA". The record is from RNAcentral. Lineage: Eukaryota; Fungi; Ascomycota; Lecanoromycetes; Lecanorales; Parmeliaceae.
CGCACAUUGCGCCCCUCGGUAUUCCGGGGGGCAUGCCUGUUCGAGCGUCAUUACACCCCUCAAGCUUGGCUUGGUAUUGGGCUCUCGCCCCCGUGGCGGGCCCGAAAAGCAGUGGCGGUCCGGCGUGACUUUAAGCGUAGUAAAUUUCAAUCCCGCUUUGAAAGUUCGCGUCGUGGCUCGCCAGGCAACCCUACGUAACAUCUACGUAUCUUCAAUAAUUGACCUCGGAUCAGGUAGGGAUACCCGCUGAACUUAA